GACGAACGCUGGCGGCGUGCCUAAUACAUGCAAGUCGAACGCAGUGGGGACGGGUGCGUAACACGUGGGUAACCUCCCAUCAGAGGGGAUAACACUUGGAAACAGGUGCUAAACCGAUACUGAUGGAUGGACUCGCGGUGCAUUAGCUAGUUGGUGAGGUAACGGCGAACCAAGGCCACGAUGCAGAGCCGGCCUGAGAGGAUGAUCGGCCACACUGGAACGGAGACACGGCCCAGACUCCUACGGUAGGCAGCAGUGGGGAAUCUUCGGCAAUGGGCGAAAGUCUGACCGAGCAAUGCCGCGUGUGUGAAGAAGGUUUUCGGAUCGUAAAGCGCUGUUGUUAGGGAAGCGGUAUCUAACCAGAAAGCCACGGCUAACUACGUGCCAGCAGCCGCGGUAAUUC
This 403-nucleotide ribosomal RNA is filed under the name uncultured bacterium. RNAcentral describes it as "partial 16S ribosomal RNA". It matches the Rfam family "Bacterial small subunit ribosomal RNA", at positions 28 to 526 of the family's 1533-position model. The record is from RNAcentral.